Ictalurus punctatus (channel catfish) is the source of this 1443-nucleotide long non-coding RNA. Lineage: Eukaryota; Metazoa; Chordata; Actinopteri; Siluriformes; Ictaluridae. The record is from Ensembl.
AGACAGGGCCGAUCCAGACGGAAAUAAAAUCCCCAAAGAGCACAUGUAAAAUAGGAAAUUACCCCAUGGACCCCUGUACAUCUAAUCCUGUCUGGACAGGGUGUUAGUGCUAGUACUGAUGAGGUGAGAGGUGGGCGUGGCGCUCGGAUCUCCACCUGGUUUGGCGCUUGGCUGAGUUUUGCCCCUUAGGGCUUUCCAUACUGAGUUUCAGAACUCUUCACUUCAGCGGGUAAGAAGCGCCCGAUUUCCUGGUACGAGGCACAAUGGGCAUUUCUUUGAACUGGGGGAGAAUGACUCGAAUAGACGAGAGCGGAGAUGAAAACAGGUCAUGAGUGCAGUGGGGAUAACAUCUGUGGAUGAACAGCCUCACCCGGAGCUCACCUGUCUACCACAAACCAGCCUCGCAGUAUGAAGUCCACAGUGUUAUCGCACAGAAAUAGCCUGGCAGCACACAGACCGAAAACAGCACCAAACACACCGCCCUUAAGUGAAAGCACCUCAACACAUUUAGUUUGAAAAGCCCUGAGACGUAAACUGAGCCAAAUGACGGAGAUGACGUGCUGACGGAAACAUGAUGUGUUCUGGAGAUGUGGACUAAAGAACAACAAAAAAAAGAAAAGAAAAGCUGGAUUUAAUGCACAAAAUAUUUUGAUCUAGGUAUUAAUAGAAUAAAUUAGUAAUCUAUUGAGCGCUGAGUCUGUGUUCUUUGUGCUUGGGUGAUUUUUUUUUAAUGCUUUCUACAUGCACUUCUGGCAAAUGAAUGUAAGACACACCCCUUAGCCACUGUUUUUUUUUUUUUUUGUUUUGUUUUGAUUAUAUGCAGUGAGAAAACCAAAACCAACCAAAUCGAAAUAAAAGUAUCAGUUUCACUCUGAUUCAGACUUGACCCCAGAAUCUGAGCAGUAAUGAGCAAGCCGGAGGCGAGAGUGGCAAGGAAAAACUCCCUGAGAAGUCAUGAGGAUUUUUAACGACCACAGAGAGUCAGGACCUCGGUUUAACGUCUCAUCCGAAACACGGUGCUGUUUUACAGUAUAGUGCCCCCAUCACUAUACUGGGGCAUUAAGCCCCAAAUAGACCACAGAGUGAGCACCCCCUGCUGGCCUCACUAAUACCACUUCCAGCAGCAACCUUAGUUUUCCCCAGUAGGUCUCCCAUCCAGAUACUGACCAGGCUCAACCCCGCUUAGUGUCAGUGGGAAACCAGGCGAGAGCUGCAGGGAGAUAUGGCUCUGGCAUGCCGUAAAUGAAUACAGGUCAGUCUUAAAGUCUUUUAACGAGAUCACUCACUGAAGCAAGUUUUCAUUAAGAUAUUACUAUACCAUUAUUUGUCUCGUGCUAAAGAAAGGACUGAAUAUAUUUCCCUAGCUACUGUCUGGCUACUCUCUCUCUGGUUGGAUAAGACGUGUCUUUCGACAUUGAUUAUUAGACUAGCGCACAAACCCUA